AGUGAACGCUGGCGGUAGGCCUAACACAUGCAAGUCGAACGGCAGCACAGUAAGAGCUUGCUCUUACGGGUGGCGAGUGGCGGACGGGUGAGGAAUACAUCGGAAUCUACUUUUUCGUGGGGGAUAACGUAGGGAAACUUACGCUAAUACCGCAUACGACCUACGGGUGAAAGCAGGGGAUCUUCGGACCUUGCGCGAUUGAAUGAGCCGAUGUCGGAUUAGCUAGUUGGCGGGGUAAAGGCCCACCAAGGCGACGAUCCGUAGCUGGUCUGAGAGGAUGAUCAGCCACACUGGAACUGAGACACGGUCCAGACGCCUACGGGAGGCAGCAGUGGGGAAUAUUGGACAAUGGGCGCAAGCCUGAUCCAGCCAUACCGCGUGGGUGAAGAAGGCCUUCGGGUUGUAAAGCCCUUUUGUUGGGGAAAGAAAAGCAGCAGGUUAAUACCCCGCUGUUCUGACGGUACCCAAAGAAUAAGCACCGGCUAACUUCGUG
Molecule: ribosomal RNA, 493 nt
Filed under: uncultured bacterium
Lineage: Bacteria
Description: partial 16S ribosomal RNA
Rfam family: Bacterial small subunit ribosomal RNA
Source: RNAcentral